UCAAACUUGGUCAUUUAGAGGAAGUAAAAGUCGUAACAAGGUUUCCGUAGGUGAACCUGCGGAAGGAUCAUUAAUGAAAUCAUAUUCUCCUUUGGAGUUUGCAUUCAUUUGCUAUCUCUGUUCUUUUGAUUAGUAUGUUGUAGGGAGAUUUAUUCUCCUGUAUACUUGGUUCUAUGCUUUUACAAUCACUGUAUAACCAUGAAUGUAUUGCAGGUCGAAGGACCUUUAUAAUCUUAUAUACAACUUUCAGCAACGGAUCUCUUGGCUCAUGCAUCGAUGAAGAACGCAGC
Molecule: unclassified non-coding RNA, 290 nt
Filed under: uncultured fungus
Lineage: Eukaryota; Fungi
Description: partial contains small subunit ribosomal RNA, internal transcribed spacer 1, and 5.8S ribosomal RNA
Rfam family: Eukaryotic small subunit ribosomal RNA (bases 1-73)
Source: RNAcentral